AAUGAACGCUGGUGGUGUGCCUAAUACAUGCAAGUCGUGCGAGAAGUUUACUUCUAGCGGCGAACGGGUGAGUAACACGUGUUUAAUCUACCCUUUUGUUUGGAAUAACAUUAAGAAAUUGAUGCUAAUAUUGAAUAGGUAAUAUUGACUUCGGUUUUUAUUAUUAAAGAAGCGUUUGCUUCGCUAAAGGAUGAGAAUGCGCAGCAUUAGGUAGUUGGUAGAGUAAAAGCCUACCAAGCCAACGAUGCUUAGCCGGCCUGAGAGGGUGAACGGCCACACUGGAACUGAGACACGGUCCAGACUUCUACGGGGAGGGCAGCAGUAGGGAAUUUUCGACAAUGAGCGCAAGCUUGAUCGAGCAACACCACGUGAGGGAAGAAGAUUUUAGGAUCGUAAACCUCUGUUGUAAGGAAAGAAAUGCUAGAACAGGAAAUGGUUUAGUUUGACGGUACCUUACCAGAAAGUGACGGCUAACUUCGUGCCAGCCGCCGCGGUAAU
RNAcentral lists this ribosomal RNA (498 nucleotides) under uncultured bacterium. RNAcentral's name for it is "bacterial SSU rRNA". It matches the Rfam family "Bacterial small subunit ribosomal RNA", at positions 29 to 524 of the family's 1533-position model. The record is from RNAcentral.